Ictalurus punctatus (channel catfish) is the source of this 1306-nucleotide long non-coding RNA. NCBI's taxonomy places the organism in Eukaryota, Metazoa, Chordata, Actinopteri, Siluriformes, Ictaluridae. The record is from Ensembl.
UGACUCGGCGACCCUGCUAUGAGACAUUACUCCACUAGAAUGUAUUUGCAAGGUGUUUGAUAUAAAUAACUGAGAGUUGAUGUGAGGACACUUGGUCCACGGAGGCUGGUUCAUAUUACAUAACAAUAAAUUCCCAGAGUCCUCUCUGACACCACAACCCCUGAUAUCCAGUAUAUCAUCUUUAAUCCAUGCUGUUGUCCUGUCUAUGUCCGCGUCUAAGCCACCUCUGAGUCAUGAAGGGGAUUAAAUAAAAUUACAACAGAAAAUCUGGGUCCCUGAUAUUUUAGGACUCAUUACAAUGAGUGUACUUCUGACUACAGAAUAACUGGAGAGUAAUUGAUUUCCAGUUUAAUAAAUUCUUAAUGUGUCUCUGCAAACAGGCACUAAGCAACUCGAAUUUACUGUCAUUCAUUUAGUACAUAACAGCUCUUUAACUGCUAGUAAAUGAGCUGUUUUCUCGCUGAUGGAUAUAAGUGGGAGUUCAAUAUCAUAGUCUUGAUUUAGCUCCUCAAAUUUCACUGAUUUCUUUAGCAGCAAACAAACCUGUCAGAAUAUAACAUUUCUUGUUUUUCACCAACAUUAAAAGGUACACGAUGUAAGUUUUGGCCCUAUUUUGUUAAAAAAUAAAACUGCAUACAUUUUGUGGAAGAAUACUGUGCUUGGUUGUGCUUCAGCUCUGCAUAUUUGUGUGGACGAAUAUAGUUUGCUGCAUCAGUCAGUGUGAGGGAAAAUGGAUCUACACCAAAUUGCAGAUCACCUGGAUCUACGGGUCCUGACAAACAGUUAUUUGAAAGUAACUACCUGCUGAACAUGCAUUUUGUACGAAUACAUGCAAGCUAUUAUGAGCUCCUGAAGAAGCACCUUUAGUGCUUGGACCCCUAAAAAGAAGAAGAAGAACAAGAAGAAGAAGAAGAAGAACAACAACAACAACAACAAGAGGAAAGUUCCUCUUGCUUGGCCCCUAAUGAGCCUUAUCACAUGUUCCUGCAGCACAAACUGCUCUGGUCUGUCUGGAAAAGACCACGCCUCCACACAGACAUUUGAGAAGGGAAUUGAAAGUGUCGUGGAGAAAAGGUGAGCUGAUUAAACUUACUAAACUCUGGCAUGCUGAGAUCUUGUUCUUAACCUCCCGCUCGAGAAGCUGACACCUCUUCCCCCUCUCACUCACUUCUCGUGCCUUCCUUUCUCAGCAGCUCCAUCUGAGCUCAGCCGAGCGAGGACGAGAGCAACAGGAGAAGAGGAGGAAGGAGGAGGAGGAGGAGGAGGAGGAGGGUGGAAAUGAGGAUGAGGGAGAUCCAGAAAAGAG